AUACGUAGGGGGCGAGCGUUGUCCGGAAUGAUUGGGCGUAAAGGGCGCGUAGGCGGCUUUGCAAGUCAGUAGUGGAAGUCCAUUUUUCAAGGAUGGAAGUGCUACAGAAACUGCGGAGCUUGAGGUCGGGAGAGGUUAUCGGAAUUCCCGGUGUAGCGGUGAAAUGCGUAGAGAUCGGGAGGAACACCAGUGGCGAAGGCGGGUAACUGGACUGCAACUGACGCUGAGGCGCGAAAGUGUGGGGAGCAAACAGGAUUAGAUACCCUGGUAGUCCACACUGUAAACGAUGAAUGCUAGGUGUAGGAGGUAUCGACCCCUUCUGUGCCGCAGUAAACACAGUAAGCAUUCCGCCUGGGGAGUACGGUCGCAAGAUUAAAACUCAAAGGAAUUGACGGGG
RNAcentral lists this ribosomal RNA (397 nucleotides) under uncultured bacterium. RNAcentral describes it as "partial 16S ribosomal RNA". It matches the Rfam family "Bacterial small subunit ribosomal RNA", at positions 523 to 918 of the family's 1533-position model. The record is from RNAcentral.